CUGAGUACGGCGGAACACGUGAAAUUCCGUCGGAAUCCGGGAGGACCAUCUCCCAAGGCUAAAUACUCCCUAGUGACCGAUAGUGAACCAGUACCGUGAGGGAAAGGUGAAAAGCACCCCGGAAGGGGAGUGAAACAGUUCCUGAAACCGUGUGCCUACAAGUAGUUAGAGCCCGUUAAUGGGUGAUAGCGUGCCUUUUGUAGAAUGAACCGGCGAGUUACGAUUUGUUGCAAGGUUAAGCGGAAAAAGCGGAGCCGUAGCGAAAGCGAGUCUGAAUAGGGCGCAUAAGUAACAGGUCGUAGACCCGAAACCAGGUGAUCUACCCAUGUCCAGGAUGAAGGUAAGGUAAUACUUACUGGAGGUCCGAACCCACGCACGUUGAAAAGUGCGG
This 391-nucleotide ribosomal RNA is filed under the name Listeria monocytogenes. RNAcentral describes it as "partial 23S ribosomal RNA". It matches the Rfam family "Bacterial large subunit ribosomal RNA", at positions 408 to 801 of the family's 2925-position model. The record is from RNAcentral. Lineage: Bacteria; Bacillati; Bacillota; Bacilli; Caryophanales; Listeriaceae.